GUUCCUUCUUCACUUUUAGGUUUUGGCCACCUUACUUUCCCCUUUUACAAGUUCACACAUCUACCUUCUCCCUCAUCUUCUCUCUGCUCUCUCACACCUCCGGUCGCCGGAGGAGGGAUUCCGGCGCCGGUAUACCCGGUCAGGCGACACGCACACACCCCCAACACUCUUCUCGACACCUCCACCCCCUUCGUUUUCACUCUCUCGCACACUGUUUUCGGCUGGAGAGCGGCGGAGCCGACGGUGCUCCGGCAACGGCGUACCGGCGAUGGUGGAUUUGACGGUGGUUCAGUGGUGAACACUCUUCAAAUAGACCCUUCUGAACCUACUUCCGGCGCCUGCUUUCCGAUUGGAUCAAUGGGGGUGUAUUCUUUUUGACGCUGAUGGCCGUGGUUCAUAGGAGCUUCACUCCGGUGGUGACUGACGAACGACGGCGGUGCUAAAUCCGCUGGAAUCAACCACGGCAGCCAUGAUCUUCGAGCUUUCUCACCCCGAUUGUUCCUUAGAUGCUUUGCCAGCCAAAUCACAAACUGUAACAGCCCGUCGGAGAUUCGAAUAAACCCGCAUCGCCGCAUCAUAAACCCGCAUCGCCGUUCUUCGACUUCACAGGCCAAAUUGCGUUUACGGCUGGCGUUUCUAAUUUGUCAGUUCUGCUUUUACUUUGUUGUCUCUUUCGUCAGGUGCAAUUGUAUACGUUUGUGGGUUGUCGCCGUUUCGUAGCUUCUUCCUGGGGUGCAUUUCGUCCGACAUUGUUUUCUCUCUUAGGUUUGUGGGUAACUCUUUUUUCAUGAAGAAAAGUGUUGUCUUCUGUGUACUAGGAUUACAAAGAUCCUAAAGGUGUUGACAGGCAACAUCACACGAUGUGGUCUCUGAUUGUUGAGGCUCGACUUUGGUCCUGGCAUCAUGAUCCUUAAAAAAACCAAAAAGAUAGCCGCACCAGCCUGUUCAACUCUCCAAGGCAAGUAAUUUAACUUUGUAAUAGACCAGGCUCGGAACAUGCUUCAAAACAGGAAAUCAGCUUGGUCAACCCACUACAACUUUCAGCACUUUAUAUUUAGUACAUCAACUAUCCCAAUGUAACACAGAUAACUGAUAACUUCCUGGUAACAUAAAACCUUACCCGCCGCGAAGCGCG
Molecule: long non-coding RNA, 1135 nt
Filed under: Helianthus annuus (common sunflower)
Lineage: Eukaryota; Viridiplantae; Streptophyta; Magnoliopsida; Asterales; Asteraceae
Description: sRNA HanXRQr2_Chr11g0474771
Source: RNAcentral